RNAcentral lists this ribosomal RNA (253 nucleotides) under uncultured bacterium. RNAcentral's name for it is "partial 16S ribosomal RNA". It matches the Rfam family "Bacterial small subunit ribosomal RNA", at positions 524 to 776 of the family's 1533-position model. The record is from RNAcentral.
UACGAACCGUGCGAACGUUGUUCGGAAUCACUGGGCUUAAAGGGCGCGUAGGCGGGUAUGCAAGUCUGUGGUGAAAGCCUCCAGCUUAACUGGAGAAGUGCCGUGGAUACUGCACAUCUUGAGGAGGGUAGGGGCAUCUGGAACGGUCGGUGGAGCGGUGAAAUGCGUUGAUAUCGACCGGAACUCCGGUGGCGAAGGCGAGGUGCUGGACCCUUUCUGACGCUGAGGCGCGAAAGCCAGGGGAGCAAACGGG